CAGUCGAACGAGUUCUCGUUGAUGAUCGGUGCUUGCACCGAGAUUCAACAUGGAACGAGUGGCGGACGGGUGAGUAACACGUGGGUAACCUGCCCUUAAGUGGGGGAUAACAUUUGGAAACAGAUGCUAAUACCGCAUAGAUCCAAGAACCGCAUGGUUCUUGGCUGAAAGAUGGCGUAAGCUAUCGCUUUUGGAUGGACCCGCGGCGUAUUAGCUAGUUGGUGAGGUAAUGGCUCACCAAGGCGAUGAUACGUAGCCGAACUGAGAGGUUGAUCGGCCACAUUGGGACUGAGACACGGCCCAAACUACUACGGGAGGCAGCAGUAGGGAAUCUUCCACAAUGGACGCAAGUCUGAUGGAGCAACGCCGCGUGAGUGAAGAAGGCUUUCGGGUCGUAAAACUCUGUUGUUGGAGAAGAAUGGUCGGCAGAGUAACUGUUGUCGGCGUGACGGUAUCCAACCAGAAAGCCAGGGCUAAUUACGUGCCAGCAGCCGCGGUAAUACGUAGGUGGCAAGCGUUAUCCGGAUUUAUUGGGCGUAAAGCGAGCGCAGGCGGUUUUUUAAGUCUGAUGUGAAAGCCCUCGGCUUAACCGAGGAAGCGCAUCGGAAACUGGGAAACUUGAGUGCAGAAGAGGACAGUGGAACUCCAUGUGUAGCGGUGAAAUGCGUAGAUAUAUGGAAGAACACCAGUGGCGAAGGCGGCUGUCUGGUCUGUAACUGACGCUGAGGCUCGAAAGCAUGGGUAGCGAACAGGAUUAGAUACCCUGGUAGUCCAUGCCGUAAACGAUGAAUGCUAGGUGUUGGAGGGUUUCCGCCCUUCAGUGCCGCAGCUAACGCAUUAAGCAUUCCGCCUGGGGAGUACGACCGCAAGGUUGAAACUCAAAGGAAUUGACGGGGGCCCGCACAAGCGGUGGAGCAUGUGGUUUAAUUCGAAGCAACGCGAAGAACCUUACCAGGUCUUGACAUCUUUUGAUCACCUGAGAGAUCAGGUUUCCCCUUCGGGGGCAAAAUGACAGGUGGUGCAUGGUUGUCGUCAGCUCGUGUCGUGAGAUGUUGGGUUAAGUCCCGCAACGAGCGCAACCCUUAUGACUAGUUGCCAGCAUUUAGUUGGGCACUCUAGUAAGACUGCCGGUGACAAACCGGAGGAAGGUGGGGAUGACGUCAAAUCAUCAUGCCCCUUAUGACCUGGGCUACACACGUGCUACAAUGGAUGGUACAACGAGUUGCGAGACCGCGAGGUCAAGCUAAUCUCUUAAAGCCAUUCUCAGUUCGGACUGUAGGCUGCAACUCGCCUACACGAAGUCGGAAUCGCUAGUAAUCGCGGAUCAGCACGCCGCGGUGAAUACGUUCCCGGGCCUUGUACACACCGCCCGUCACACCAUGAGAGUUUGUAACACCCGAAGCCGGUGGCGUAACCCUUUUAGGGAGCGA
This 1430-nucleotide ribosomal RNA is filed under the name Lacticaseibacillus paracasei. RNAcentral's name for it is "bacterial SSU rRNA". It matches the Rfam family "Bacterial small subunit ribosomal RNA". The record is from RNAcentral. Lineage: Bacteria; Bacillati; Bacillota; Bacilli; Lactobacillales; Lactobacillaceae.